UACAGAGGUCCCAAGCGUUGUUCGGAUUCACUGGGCGUAAAGGGUGCGUAGGCGGUCGGGUAAGUCUGAUGUGAAAUCUCACAGCUUAACUGUGAAACUGCAUUGGAUACUAUUCGGCUUGAGAGUUGGAGGGGGGACUGGAAUUCUUGGUGUAGCAGUGAAAUGCGUAGAUAUCAAGAGGAACACCAGUGGCGAAGGCGGCCCGCUGGGCAGUGGCUGACGCUGAGGCGCGACAGCGUGGGGAGCAAACAGG
This 253-nucleotide ribosomal RNA is filed under the name uncultured bacterium. RNAcentral's name for it is "partial 16S ribosomal RNA". It matches the Rfam family "Bacterial small subunit ribosomal RNA", at positions 524 to 776 of the family's 1533-position model. The record is from RNAcentral.